This 255-nucleotide ribosomal RNA is filed under the name Kluyvera cryocrescens. Its description in RNAcentral is "partial 23S ribosomal RNA". It matches the Rfam family "Bacterial large subunit ribosomal RNA", at positions 610 to 867 of the family's 2925-position model. Lineage: Bacteria; Pseudomonadati; Pseudomonadota; Gammaproteobacteria; Enterobacterales; Enterobacteriaceae. The record is from RNAcentral.
GUAUAAUGGGUCAGCGACUUAUAUUCUGUAGCAAGGUUAACCGUAUAGGGGAGCCGAAGGGAAACCGAGUCUUAACUGGGCGUUAAGUUGCAGGGUAUAGACCCGAAACCCGGUGAUCUAGCCAUGGGCAGGUUGAAGGUUGGGUAACACUAACUGGAGGACCGAACCGACUAAUGUUGAAAAAUUAGCGGAUGACUUGUGGCUGGGGGUGAAAGGCCAAUCAAACCGGGAGAUAGCUGGUUCUCCCCGAAAGCU